This 377-nucleotide ribosomal RNA is filed under the name uncultured bacterium. RNAcentral describes it as "bacterial SSU rRNA". It matches the Rfam family "Bacterial small subunit ribosomal RNA", at positions 28 to 407 of the family's 1533-position model. The record is from RNAcentral.
GACGAACGCUGGCGGCGUGCUUAACACAUGCAAGUCGAGCGGUAAGGCCCUUUCGGGGGUACACGAGCGGCGAACGGGUGAGUAACACGUGGGUGACCUGCCCUUAGCUCUGGGAUAAGCCUGGGAAACUGGGUCUAAUACCGGAUAUGACUCCAUAACGCAUGUUGUGGGGUGGAAAGCCUUGUGCGGCUAGGGAUGGGCCCGCGGCCUAUCAGCUUGUUGGUGGGGUGAUGGCCACCAAGGCGACGACGGGUAGCCGGCCUGAGAGGGCGACCGGCCACACUGGGACUGAGACACGGCCCAGACUCCUACGGGAGGCAGCAGUGGGGAAUCUUGCGCAAUGGGCGAAAGCCUGACGCAGCGACGCCGCGUGGGGA